Molecule: ribosomal RNA, 301 nt
Filed under: uncultured bacterium
Lineage: Bacteria
Description: partial 16S ribosomal RNA
Rfam family: Bacterial small subunit ribosomal RNA
Source: RNAcentral
CAGCAGCCGCGGUAAUACGAAGGGGGCUAGCGCUGUUCGGAUUUACUGGGCGUAAAGCGCACGUAGGCGGAUCGAUCAGUCAGGGGUGAAAUCCCGGAGCUCAACUCCGGAAUUGCCUUUAAGACUGCAUCACUUGAACGUCGGAGAGGUGAGUGGAAUUCCGAGUGUAGAGGUGAAAUUCGUAGAUAUUCGGCGGAACACCAGUGGCGAAGGCGACUCACUGGCCCGAUACUGACGCUGAGGCGCGAAAGCGUGGGGAGCAAACAGGAUUAGAUACCCCCGUAGUCCCUGUCUCUUAUAC